CGUCGACCGGCGCACGGGUGAGUAACGCGUAUCCAACCUUCCCAUUACUGUGGGAUAACCUGCCGAAAGGCAGACUAAUACCGCAUAGUCUUCGAUGACGGCAUCAGAUUUGAAGUAAAGAUUUAUCGGUAAUGGAUGGGGAUGCGUCUGAUUAGCUUGUUGGCGGGGUAACGGCCCACCAAGGCGACGAUCAGUAGGGGUUCUGAGAGGAAGGUCCCCCACAUUGGAACUGAGACACGGUCCAAACUCCUACGGGAGGCAGCAGGC
Molecule: ribosomal RNA, 267 nt
Filed under: uncultured Prevotella sp.
Lineage: Bacteria; Pseudomonadati; Bacteroidota; Bacteroidia; Bacteroidales; Prevotellaceae
Description: partial 16S ribosomal RNA
Rfam family: Bacterial small subunit ribosomal RNA
Source: RNAcentral